AUUGAACGCUGGCGGAAUGCUUAACACAUGCAAGUCGAGGGGCAGCAUAGAUUGUAGCAAUACAAUUGGUGGCGACCGGCGCACGGGUGCGUAACGCGUAUGCAACCUACCCGUCACAGGGGGAUAAUCCGGAGAAAUCUGGUCUAAUACCCCAUAACAUAUGGAUCGGCAUCGGUUCAUGUUGAAAUUUUCGGAGGUGACGGAUGGGCAUGCGUAGCAUUAGCUUGUUGGUGAGGUAACGGCUCACCAAGGCGACGAUGCUUAGGGGGACUGAGAGGUUUUCCCCCCACACUGGUACUGAGACACGGACCAGACUCCUACGGGAGGCAGCAGUGAGGAAUAUUGGUCAAUGGGCGCAAGCCUGAACCAGCCAUGCCGCGUGCAGGAUGACGGCUCUAUGAGUUGUAAACUGCUUUUGUACGAGGGUAAAGUGGGUUACGUGUAACCUUUUGAAAGUAUCGUACGAAUAAGGAUCGGCUAACUCCGUGCCAGCCGCCGCCGUAA
Molecule: ribosomal RNA, 504 nt
Filed under: uncultured bacterium
Lineage: Bacteria
Description: partial 16S ribosomal RNA
Rfam family: Bacterial small subunit ribosomal RNA
Source: RNAcentral